RNAcentral lists this ribosomal RNA (841 nucleotides) under Pseudomonas putida. Its description in RNAcentral is "bacterial SSU rRNA". It matches the Rfam family "Bacterial small subunit ribosomal RNA", at positions 25 to 861 of the family's 1533-position model. Lineage: Bacteria; Pseudomonadati; Pseudomonadota; Gammaproteobacteria; Pseudomonadales; Pseudomonadaceae. The record is from RNAcentral.
CAGAUUGAACGCUGGCGGCAGGCCUAACACAUGCAAGUCGAGCGGAUGAGAAGAGCUUGCUCUUCGAUUCAGCGGCGGACGGGUGAGUAAUGCCUAGGAAUCUGCCUGGUAGUGGGGGACAACGUUUCGAAAGGAACGCUAAUACCGCAUACGUCCUACGGGAGAAAGCAGGGGACCUUCGGGCCUUGCGCUAUCAGAUGAGCCUAGGUCGGAUUAGCUAGUUGGUGAGGUAAUGGCUCACCAAGGCGACGAUCCGUAACUGGUCUGAGAGGAUGAUCAGUCACACUGGAACUGAGACACGGUCCAGACUCCUACGGGAGGCAGCAGUGGGGAAUAUUGGACAAUGGGCGAAAGCCUGAUCCAGCCAUGCCGCGUGUGUGAAGAAGGUCUUCGGAUUGUAAAGCACUUUAAGUUGGGAGGAAGGGCAUUAACCUAAUACGUUAGUGUUUUGACGUUACCGACAGAAUAAGCACCGGCUAACUCUGUGCCAGCAGCCGCGGUAAUACAGAGGGUGCAAGCGUUAAUCGGAAUUACUGGGCGUAAAGCGCGCGUAGGUGGUUUGUUAAGUUGRAUGUGAAAGCCCCGGGCUCAACCUGGGAACUGCAUCCAAAACUGGCAAGCUAGAGUACGGUAGAGGGUGGUGGAAUUUCCUGUGUAGCGGUGAAAUGCGUAGAUAUAGGAAGGAACACCAGUGGCGAAGGCGACCACCUGGACUGAUACUGACACUGAGGUGCGAAAGCGUGGGGAGCAAACAGGAUUAGAUACCCUGGUAGUCCACGCCGUAAACGAUGUCAACUAGCCGUUGGAAUCCUUGAGAUUUUAGUGGCGCAGCUAACGCAUU